This is a non-coding RNA of Pteropus alecto (black flying fox), 81 nucleotides long. NCBI's taxonomy places the organism in Eukaryota, Metazoa, Chordata, Mammalia, Chiroptera, Pteropodidae. The record is from Rfam.
UGGAAUUAUCGAGUGUAACAGCAACUCCAUGUGGGCUGUGUACCAACUUCCAGUGGAGAUGCUGUUACUUUUGAUGGUUAC